This 1001-nucleotide ribosomal RNA is filed under the name uncultured bacterium. RNAcentral describes it as "bacterial SSU rRNA". It matches the Rfam family "Bacterial small subunit ribosomal RNA", at positions 1 to 1045 of the family's 1533-position model. The record is from RNAcentral.
UAACCAAGGCAUCAGCUACGAUGCGGUCGGACGGAUCCAUGCGUGAAACCUGGUGAUGCGUGGAUUGGUGGCGGACGGGUGAGUAACGCGUGGAUAACCUGCCGUAUACUGGGGGAUAACACUUAGAAAUAGGUGCUAAUACCGCAUAAGCGCACAGUCUCGCAUGAGACGGUGUGAAAAACUCCGGUGGUAUACGAUGGAUCCGCGUCUGAUUAGCUUGUUGGCGGGGUAACAGCCCACCAAGGCGACGAUCAGUAGCCGGCCUGAGAGGGUGAACGGCCACAUUGGGACUGAGACACGGCCCAAACUCCUACGGGAGGCAGCAGUGGGGAAUAUUGCACAAUGGGGGAAACCCUGAUGCAGCGACGCCGCGUGAGUGAAGAAGUACCCCGGUACGUAAAGCUCUAUCAGCAGGGAAGAAAAUGACGGUACCUGACCAAGAAGCCCCGGCUAACUACGUGCCAGCAGCCGCGGUAAUACGUAGGGGGCAAGCGUUAUCCGGAUUUACUGGGUGUAAAGGGAGCGUAGACGGCAGCGCAAGUCUGGAGUGAAAUCCCGGGGCUCAACCCCGGAACUGCUUUGGAAACUGCGCGGCUCGAGUGCAGGAGGGGCAGGCGGAAUUCCUAGUGUAGCGGUGAAAUGCGUAGAUAUUAGGAGGAACACCAGUGGCGAAGGCGGCCUGCUGGACUGUAACUGACGUUGAGGCUCGAAAGCGUGGGGAGCAAACAGGAUUAGAUACCCUGGUAGUCCACGCCGUAAACGAUGAUUACUAGGUGUCGGGGGACCAAGGUCCUCCGGUGCCGGCGCAAACGCAUUAAGUAAUCCACCUGGGGAGUACGUUCGCAAGAAUGAAACUCAAAGGAAUUGACGGGGACCCGCACAAGCGGUGGAGCAUGUGGGUUUAAUUCGAAGCAACGCGAAGAACCUUACCUGGUCUUGACAUCCCGGUGACGCAUGGGCAUGCCAUGUUUCCCUCGGGACACCGGAGAACAGGUGGUGCA